Molecule: ribosomal RNA, 830 nt
Filed under: Haliplectus futianisus
Lineage: Eukaryota; Metazoa; Nematoda; Chromadorea; Plectida; Haliplectidae
Description: SSU rRNA
Rfam family: Eukaryotic small subunit ribosomal RNA
Source: RNAcentral
GUGAUCUCGGACUCGCGGGGAGGAGUGCAUUUAUUAGAACAAAACUAACGGGCCUCGGCCCUUGGUUUGGUGAAUCUGAAUAACUGCGCUGAUCGCACGGUCCUCGCACCGGCGACAUAUCUUUCAAGUGUCUGCCUUAUCAACUUUCGAUGGUAGUUUAUGUGCCUACCAUGGUUGUAACGGGUAACGGAGAAUCAGGGUUCGACUCCGGAGAGGGAGCCUGAGAAACGGCUACCACAUCCAAGGAAGGCAGCAGGCGCGCAAAUUACCCACUCUCGGCACGAGGAGGUAGUGACGAAAAAUAACGAGACGGUUCUCUCAGAGGCCCGUCAUCGGAAUGGGUACAAUUUAAACCCUUUAACGAGGAUCUAUUGGAGGGCAAGUCUGGUGCCAGCAGCCGCGGUAAUUCCAGCUCCAAUAGCGUAUAUUAAAGUUGUUGCGGUUAAAAAGCUCGUAGUUGGAUCUGCGGCCUCGGCGGCCGGUCGCCCACAGGGUUUGUACUGGUGCAGUCGAGGCCUACUCGGUCGGAUUGUCGGCAGUGCCUUUAACCGGGUGCUGUUCGACGGCCGACACGUUUACUUUGAAAAAAUUAGAGUGCUCAAAGCAGGCUCGAGGCCUGAAUAGUGGUGCAUGGAAUAAUGGAAUAGGACCUCGGUUCUAUUUUGUUGGUUUUCGGAGCUCGAGGUAAUGAUUAAGAGGGACGGACGGGGGCAUUCGUAUUGCGGCGUUAGAGGUGAAAUUCUUGGAUCGCCGCAAGACGGACAACUGCGAAAGCAUUUGCCAAGAAUGUUUUCAUUAAUCAAGAACGAAAGUAGAGUCGAGCGAAGGUC